This 129-nucleotide ribosomal RNA is filed under the name uncultured bacterium. RNAcentral describes it as "partial 16S ribosomal RNA". It matches the Rfam family "Bacterial small subunit ribosomal RNA", at positions 365 to 509 of the family's 1533-position model. The record is from RNAcentral.
GGUGANAGGGGCGCAAGCCUGACCCAGCAACGCCGCGUGAAGGAAGAAGGCUUUCGGGUUGUAAACUUCUUUUGACAGGGAAGAGCAGAAGACGGUACCUGUCGAAUAAGCCACGGCUAACUACGUGCC